Picea glauca (white spruce) is the source of this 120-nucleotide non-coding RNA. Lineage: Eukaryota; Viridiplantae; Streptophyta; Pinopsida; Pinales; Pinaceae. The record is from Rfam.
AUGUACAUGCCUACAACAUUAAUGUAGUGGAUCCCAUUAGAACUCUGCACUUAAACAUGCUUCGCCUAGAGUAGUACUGGGAUGGGAGACCUCUCGAGAAGUCAUAUAGUGUUUUGCAUG